GCUCCGGUGGCCUAGUGGUUAGAGCGACCGCUUCGGAUGCGGGAGGUAUUUGGUUCAAUCCACGGUCGAGGCA
This is a non-coding RNA of Potamilus streckersoni, 73 nucleotides long. Lineage: Eukaryota; Metazoa; Mollusca; Bivalvia; Unionida; Unionidae. The record is from the annotation of a GenBank genome assembly.